Molecule: ribosomal RNA, 254 nt
Filed under: uncultured bacterium
Lineage: Bacteria
Description: partial 16S ribosomal RNA
Rfam family: Bacterial small subunit ribosomal RNA
Source: RNAcentral
GACGUAGGGCGCGAGCGUUGUCCGGAUUUAUUGGGCGUAAAGAGCUCGUAGGCGGUUUGUCGCGUCGGGAGUGAAAACCAGGUGCUUAACACCUGGCUUGCUUUCGAUACGGGCAGACUAGAGGUAUUCAGGGGAGAACGGAAUUCCUGGUGUAGCGGUGAAAUGACGCAGAUAUCAGGAGGAACACCGGUGGCGAAGGCGGUUCUCUGGGAAUGACCUGACGCUGAGGAGCGAAAGUGUGGGGAGCGAACAGG